GGGGGCGACAUGGCUUCGACGGGGUCGGGGGACCGUUGGCAGCAUGCCGAGAUUCCAGUCAUCUCGUAAAACGCUGGGAACAAAACAAAUGACACAGAGCACUACGCUCUCGCUGCGUAAAUAAACACGCAGCGCGUUCCCCGGAGAGAGGGACGCCAGUCCCUCCGGCGGAGCGCCGUCAUCUGGCGUCUGGUCCUGAACCGGGUCUCCUGGGGACGGACGAGAUCUUUACGGAGACUGGUUCCACGCUCGGCCUGUCGCUGAGCCAGGCGCGGAACGAGAUCGAUCAGCGGCUAAGCAUGUAGACGCCGGCGGGGGACCGGCUUCGGACGCGGGUUCGAUUCCCGCCGCCUCCACCA
This 359-nucleotide transfer-messenger RNA is filed under the name bacterium. It matches the Rfam family "transfer-messenger RNA". From Rfam's summary of the family: Bacterial tmRNA, also known as 10Sa RNA or SsrA, is named for its dual tRNA and mRNA-like properties. Its role is to liberate the mRNA from a stalled ribosome. The record is from RNAcentral. RNAcentral also lists the same sequence under 2 other names.